Long non-coding RNA from Camelus dromedarius (Arabian camel), 2413 nucleotides. RefSeq lists it as uncharacterized. NCBI's taxonomy places the organism in Eukaryota, Metazoa, Chordata, Mammalia, Artiodactyla, Camelidae. The record is from RefSeq and is a predicted model, not a curated record. The transcript has 4 exons.
GACUGGAGCGCGGUUGGGGCGUGGCCCGAGCGAAGAGCUGGCUGAGCCUGCGGGAGGGCGGUGUACGGACCUCGGAUCCUCGCCCGCUAGAGUAGUCGCUGUGGGUCUUUGGGGCAUGGCCCUAGCUCGGGCACCGGCGCCUGCGGAUCCUAAGAAAGGCCGCAGUAGUGUUGUCGACCCCUGUUUUAAGGCCGCCGCGCGCUCCGUGAGGACUGCAGGGAGUUCUCGCCCUUCCGCUCUAAUAGAUCAGGAAACAGAGACCCAGAGAGGCCAGCGAGUGCCUCAAGACCACACAGCCCGCGGGAGGCGGCGCUAGGGGGCACAUCCACCUCUCCCUCCUCCCUAAGAAACUAUUCUGCCCGAAUCUGGCAUUGCAUCCUUUCCAGGACUGGACGUCGCUGUGAAGUAUAACGUGGACUCUUUAUCACGGGGCACCUGGAUUUGUGGGAUUCUUGGUGUCUCUUCAGGGCUCUGGGAUCACAGUUCAUAAUGGUUCUUUCUGGGCCUAAUCUGAACUGUCCAGUCAGUGUGUUUUCAGUGGUCCCAACUUGAGUUUAUUAAAGAACCCACCGGAGAUUUUUGGGGCACAGGAAGUUCCAGGUUUGGGGGCCCUCAUGUAGGUUCCAACUAAAAUGAUUUUGUCCCCUAGGUUCAGGUUUACCUCACAAAGCCCAUCUUGUGAGGUAAAGAGGAGUCCCACGUGGAAGACGGCUCUUCUGAAUGGAGACCUCCCGCCAGGGCUGCAGAGCAAAGGAGGAUCAAGGCCAAGAAAGAGGAAACCCUAGAUUUGCACGGCUGGUAGCACUAUGGGAUCCUUGCGCUCCGCAGGCCACCCUGCAGACUGAGACAGCCUGAGGUUUGAGCCAAGUUUCAGGAGAGCCCCACCUUUGUGAUUCUCUACAUGUUUCCUAGAUCCACAGAAAAUGAAUGUAUCUCAGUCUUCCUGUAGGUAUCACAGUAAAUAAUCUUUUAGGUGACCACUGGAUCUCAGUGCAGCCUGCUGCCUGUAAUUGCUUCUCCGGGGAAUCUGGACACUUUGUGCCAAAGGAGAACUCAGUCAAUGCAGGUCUCUAGGUCCUCCAACAGCGGGGCCUCGUAGCCCUCUUUCUGAUGGUCCUGCUUGAUCCAGGCGUGGAACCAGGGAUAUCUGCAAGAAAGAAUGGAUUAUAUCACCUUCAAAUAAUCUCCUGUAAUAUUAUGUGUAGACUGUGCAGCGGAUAGGUUAAAGUUGUAUUUUCUGGCAAAGGCUUCCCCAUUGUCCUUUCACAUUCAAACCGCUUCACUUGUUGGAUCUGUCUGGGAAGGGAUAGCAGUGGCCUUAUUAAGACAAAUGUUGUGAUUCUAUAGUAUUUGCCUCAAUUGAGCCUUCUGUCCAGUUGGCACUCAUGUUCAGUCCCUCCUGGAAAGUCUUGAUUGGUUUCUGGUCUGUUCCUUCCUCUGUGAUUAUUUCUUUUCUGUUUUCUCCAUGGAGCCUUCUUCCUCUUCUUGCCUGUUAUUACUGUUUCUCCCAAGGUGUCCAUUUCUGGUCCCCUGUUGUCCUCACUUUCCUCAGGUCUUGCUGAUUGAUCUCCUCUCCUCUCUGGGGCUGUACCAUUAGCUGGGAAGCUUUUCCGGCUCUCCAGCCCAGACCUCUCCCCCACCUUAGACCUAAGUGGCCAACUCUCUGCUAGACAUCUCUGUAUAGCUCUUCUAAAGGCCCUUCAAACCCUACAAAUCCAAAAGGAAAGCUGUUACUAAUAACCCCACCCUUCUCAUUUAUUUCCCAACAUAUGUUAUUACCAGCCAGCCCAUCAUCCGGGUGACAAACAGCAUUUAUUUCUAAGUGCUGUCCUUUACCUGCACAUCUAGUCAGUGAUCAAAUCUUGUUUCUUUCAAGUUGUUAACAUUUCUUUCUUUUUUUUGAAGUUGAAGUGAAGUGCACACAAAUCCUCAGGGAACAACUUGAUGAAUUUUUCAUAUGCUCUGCAGCUGGAUAACUAGCACCCAGAUCAAGAUAAGGGGCAUUUGCUGUACCACAGAAGGCUUCCUUGUUUUCUUUCAAAGACUGUACUUGCCCACUCACUCAAGGUGUGUGUUCCAGUUUUGUUUGUUAAAAAAAAUGGAUGAAUUCUUUAUAUGUGCUAGAUAAUGAGUCCUUUUUCAGACACAUGUACUGCAGAUGUCUUUUUUGAAUCUGAGGCUUGUUCUGAAUUUUAAUUAAGUCCAGCUUAUCAAUCUCUUCUGUAAUGGUGAGUGCUCUUUGUGUCCUAUUUAAAAAAAGCCUUGGGCGGGGAGGGUAUAUAUAGCUCAAGUGGUAGAGCACAUGCUUAGCAUGCAUGAGGUUCUGGGUUCAAUCCCCAGUAGCUCCUCUAAGAAUAAAUAAAUAAACUUAAUUACCUCCCCCCACCAAAAAAAAAAAAAAAAAAAAGAAAAA